RNAcentral lists this long non-coding RNA (472 nucleotides) under Homo sapiens (human). RNAcentral describes it as "HSALNT0318859". The record is from RNAcentral. Lineage: Eukaryota; Metazoa; Chordata; Mammalia; Primates; Hominidae.
AAAAAAAAAAAGAAGUUUGGAGUGUCUGCUCCAUGUUGGAUAAAAAAACUAAAUAAAAUCCUGGGAAAUGUGAAGAAUGCCAAAGAAAUGGAAAAAUGAGGACAGAAAAGAAUACUACUGCCUGGUUUCUGUGGCCAUAGGUCAAGCUGGAAAACAUUUUUCCAUAAAACCAUGUGCAAUUUCAUGCCACAGGUGAAAGAAUAGCCCAAAUCCACAAGUAAAUGCAUCGGUCAUUCUCCUUUGAUGAAAACCAGUUCAUGGACAAAUCAAAUGUAUGCUUCUCUCAUCUUAUGCAAUUCUAUGAAGAGUCACACAAAAAUGGAAUCCAGUUCUAGGAUAUCAAAGAAUCACCAAGUUAAAGGAGAAAUUGAGCUCUAAGGGAAAUAACUUCCUAUUGAAACAACAACAAAAAAUCUGAAGUCCAAGGAGAAAAAAAUAACCUUUAGUAAUUGCCUUGUUAUUGUUCAGUUUA